AUUCGAGUGAGUAUAAGCUCGUAGUUGGAUUUCGGGUGGGCGUUAGCGGUCCGGCUCUGCUGUGUACUGCUAGUGCCUAUCUUUCUGUCGGGGACGGGCUCUUGGGCUUCAUUGUCCGGGACUCGGAGUCGACGUGGUUACUUUGAGUAAAUUAGAGUGUUCAAAGCAAGCGUUCGCUGUGAAUACAUUAGCAUGGAAUAACACGAUAGGACUCUGGCUUAUCUUGUUGGUCUGUAAGACCGGAGUAAUGAUUAAGAGGGACAGUCGGGGGCAUUCGUAUUUCAUUGUCAGAGGUGAAAUUCUUGGAUUUAUGAAAGACGAACUUCUGCGAAAGCAUUUA
RNAcentral lists this ribosomal RNA (340 nucleotides) under uncultured eukaryote. RNAcentral describes it as "SSU rRNA". It matches the Rfam family "Eukaryotic small subunit ribosomal RNA", at positions 624 to 957 of the family's 1831-position model. The record is from RNAcentral.